This is a long non-coding RNA of Lingula anatina, 1045 nucleotides long. NCBI's taxonomy places the organism in Eukaryota, Metazoa, Brachiopoda, Lingulata, Lingulida, Lingulidae. The record is from RefSeq and is a predicted model, not a curated record.
UAAAAGAACCAGCCUGAAAGAAUAUGCAGAAAUAUUUGACAAAUUUGUUCACAAGCUGGCGGGGUCUUGGAAAGGCAAGCUUAUAGAGCAAAGUGAUAUCAAGAAGGAAUUUUGAAGUAUGUCAGCAAUCUUCAAGACAAAAAGGAUCAAUUUCAAAGACAACAUGAAAGCAGCGUGACAAACUACUGGAUAUUGAACUACAUUCAUCAAGUUUUUAAAACUGACAUGUUUUCUUACAAUCUGUAAUAGCACUUGGCAACUAUGGGCUUGUUGGAACAAGAUGUCCUUAUUAUGGACCUAGAGUUUAAAGAAAACUAAAAUGUACCAGUUCCUUUGCAGUUCUCAGACAAGAUUUUCCAAAAGUGUACAUUUUCCUUUUUCAGUCAUUUUUAGAAUUUGAAAGAUCAUUUGAAGUGAUGUGUUUGUUUAUCAGAAGAUACAUUUUUUCACUAAGUUAGUUUAAUUUCAUUUUGGUUUUAUUUUAAACUUGUCAGGCAAGACUGGAUUCUGAUGUCUUCGUUAGAAAAUUUUCCCAGCUGUUGAUUGGAGUGUUGCAUUGCAAGUAAAUAGUCUUAACAAAGUCAAACACACUUUCAAAGCAGUGCAUACGCUUAAAAAAGAACUCCAAUCCGAUUAAAGCAUCUGCAUAACAUAGUUUAUUCAAAUAUUUUGACAAAUCAGAAUCUGCAGGAAAACAAACUGAGGCAAUUUACAGUUUUAAUGCAUUUGGCAAAUUACUCUACUGCAUUGUGUAAACCGAGUAACUGGAGAAACAGAAUAUGCAAUGUUCUGAAAUGAACCAAGAAAAACUUCCAAGUAGCAAAUUAUCUGGCCUGCAGACAGGGAAAGUAUUCACUGCUAUUAAUUCAACCUCUAGAAUUGGUUUCUAUGGAAACCAUCUUAAUGGUCCUUUUAACUAGCUUACACAACGUAUCAGGACCUGAGAACUUGAAAUUUUAGAAUCACAACAGUAUCAUCAAAUGUUCCGAUUCAAUGGCAAAAUCAGACUCAGAAUUGGUAGUAAAACUACACUGUAACACUUUAA